Molecule: long non-coding RNA, 2294 nt
Filed under: Macaca fascicularis (crab-eating macaque)
Lineage: Eukaryota; Metazoa; Chordata; Mammalia; Primates; Cercopithecidae
Description: lncRNA (ENSMFAG00000051109.1)
Source: RNAcentral
CUAUCCCAUAGAAACCAUGAAAUAAUGCGUUUAUGGUUUUAAAAUCACUAAUUUUGGGGUUAAUUGCUUGCACCGCAACAGAUAAUGAAUAAGUUCAAUUUGGAAGUGAAAGGACCUGGGUUCCAGUCUCACCUCCACCAAUAGUUUACGACGAACCCUUAGGCUAGUACUUUUCCCUCUCUGAGAAGCUGACAGCUCCUCUCCUGUGAAAUGAGGAAUGUGACAGAUAGCUCUAAAUAUCUCUUCCAGCUCUCAAACUUUAUAAGCCUCUUGACACAACAUCCUAAAUCUUUUCCUAUGUCCCCUCCUACUCUUUUUCUCCCCUUUCAUGUGCCCUUUCCUUCCAGGCCCCCUGGCCUCUACUUGGGCUCUGUCAUCCCUGCUCUUUCCAAUCCUGCAGUGGAAAAGAGAAAAUCUUCCUGGGGAAAGAGGUCCAGCUCCAUGGCCCAGCCCAGGACUUUAGUGGAACUUCAGAAGCUAAAGACAAAAGGAAGGGAUGCCGCUGCAGUCUGUGAAUUUCUCCGUGACACAGACAUUCACAGGCUGCUGCUAACUGCACACCUCAGCUCUCAGCCCUCAGUCUCCUCUUCAACUUUUAGGAGACUCAUGUCAUAUGUUCUUCCAUGUUCCCCCAAAGGAAGCUCCAAGAGGCUCUCAAAGCCUGUCACCUGACUUCGGACAACACCUGGGCCCCAAAUCAGCCCAGCACAGUAAGUUCAGCAAAUGGCAUCUCCGGAGACCGGGGUCUUUGGCAUAGAAUGCUGACCUGGUGCUUUCUCCAGAAUAUCCGGUCUGGUUCCAGGGGAAGCAAUUCACAGGCCUGAGGAGGAGGCAAAUGGACCAUCUGGAGGGUGGGGACUGGUUUGGGAGCAAGCGCUCUGGAGUUCAACUCUCUGUAAUGCCGCCGGAUUGCCUGGGUGACAAGGAGCAGGUUCCCAGCAUUAAGCCUCAGUUUAUAUUUCUACAAAAUAGAGAGAAAUCCCUGAAAGAUUUCUACCUCUCCUAACACAUCUGCACCCACAUUCUACAAACCUGUCCUCAUAGACUUCUCUUCAACACCCCCAAUCCUUCCUUAGAGGGCCCCCAACCUCUAAGAGACAGUACGAGGGGAGAGUGCCGGUUUCCUUAAAGACAGAACACAUGGCAAAGGAAAACCACUAGUGAAAUUUAAAUACAGAAUCUCUCCCUCUAUUGCCUUCUGGUUCUGUUCUCUUGAGAACACUCAUCCGUGCAGCCCAAUGUAAUAAUGAGCAGGUCCUGGCAGCUGUGAUAAUAGUCCUUGUGUUCUCCAGAAGGGGAAAAUGAGGUAGAGAAAAAGAAUUAACUUUUUUAACGCAUUUUAAUUAUUUUUUUACUACACCUGCAUCUGUGAAAGGAAUCUAAAAGGCUGGGUGAUUCAUUCAAGUUCAGAAGAGUGCGUGCCAGAGAGGCAGUGCACCUACCUGCUGACUCUUUCGACUGCGUGUAAAAAAGAAAAAACACCUGACUCAAAUAGCUUAAACUUUAAAAGGGGCUUAUUAGCUCACCUAAUUUUAAAAGAUGAAAGGUAUGCUGGCUUCAAUAGUUUCACUUGGAAUUUUUUCUCUUCCUUUAUCUCUGUUCUAACUUCAACUUCAUCUUAACACUGGUUCCCCUACUGUUCUUCAGAUAGCUGCCAGCAGCCCCCAAGGCUAUGAGCUUCCUCGUUCACAUGGAGAAGGAAUGUAGGAGCUUCUUUGCUCCAGCAUUCACAACAAAAGUCAUGAAGUUCACUGGGACGUGACUAGCUUAAACCACCCAGAGGUCAUCAUUAUUGGAGACUGGAUAUGCUAUCUGACUGAGCUCCCCACUGAGCCAACAGCAAAAGAAGCUUCCCUGAACCACUUGAAUUCCCAAAUAAAACUGGAGGCCUCUGGGGAAAAGGAAGGCAAAAUGGAUACUGGGAACAUAACCAAUAAGAAUCUGCUAUAGAUACAAAGAGGUUCUUCAAGUUCAGAACCUCAGGGUUUUAAAGUGAAUAAUAGCCAUACUACCCACCCUUCCUGGACCUCUGGAUGAUGACAGAAAGUCACACCCCACCCAGACAAGUGUGCCCAUGCACACACAUAGACACUUAUCCUCUUUGGAACCCAAUUCCUCAUCUGGAACAUGAAAUGUUAGAAUAGAUCAUCUCUAACUGAUGGUCCACUUCCAAGAUCCCACGACUGUAUAUGAAGUGGAUGUGUCCCCGGGCUCCCAGAAUCCACAUACAGACCUAUGCUGGUUAGUUCUUACUACAGACCCAACUCUGCUCUUCUUGGGCCCAGGGGUGCUCC